AGUGAACGCUGGCGGUAGGCCUAACACAUGCAAGUCGAACGGCAGCACAGUAAGAGCUUGCUCUUACGGGUGGCGAGUGGCGGACGGGUGAGGAAUACAUCGGAAUCUACUUUUUCGUGGGGGAUAACGUAGGGAAACUUACGUUAAUACCGCAUACGACCUACGGGUGAAAGCAGGGGAUCUUCGGACCUUGCGCGAUUGAAUGAGCCGAUGUCGGAUUAGCUAGUUGGCGGGGUAAAGGCCCACCAAGGCGACGAUCCGUAGCUGGUCUGAGAGGAUGAUCAGCCACACUGGAACUGAGACACGGUCCAGACUCCUACGGGAGGCAGAAGUGGGGAAUAUUGGACAAUGGGCGCAAGCCUGAUCCAGCCAUACCGCGUGGGUGAAGAAGGCCUUCGGGUUGUAAAGCCCUUUUGUUGGGAAAGAAAAGCAGCAGGUUAAUACCCCGCUGUUCUGACGGUACCCAAAGAAUAAGCACCGGCUAACUUCGUG
This 492-nucleotide ribosomal RNA is filed under the name uncultured bacterium. Its description in RNAcentral is "partial 16S ribosomal RNA". It matches the Rfam family "Bacterial small subunit ribosomal RNA", at positions 29 to 507 of the family's 1533-position model. The record is from RNAcentral.